UGGAUAACUGAGGUAAUUCUUGAGCUAAUACACGCUAUUUAUACCACAUUAGUGGUGCGUUUAUUUGAUUAAACCAUUUUUAUAUUGGUUGACUCAAAAUAUCCUCGCUGAUUUUGUUACUAAAACAUACCGUAUGUGUAUCUGGUUUAUCAACUUUCGAUGGUAGGGUAUUGGCCUACCAUGGUUGUGACGGAUAACGGAGAAUUAGGGUUCGACUCCGGAGAGGGAGCCUGAGAAACGGCUACCACAUCCAAGGAAGGCAGCAGGCGCGAAAAUUACCCAAUUUUAGUUAAAAGAGGUAGUGACGAAAAAUGACAACCAAAUAUUAUUAUUAAUAUUUGGAUUGAAAAUCUUCAAGUAUAAAUAACU
This 369-nucleotide ribosomal RNA is filed under the name Strongyloides stercoralis. RNAcentral's name for it is "SSU rRNA". It matches the Rfam family "Eukaryotic small subunit ribosomal RNA", at positions 140 to 534 of the family's 1831-position model. The record is from RNAcentral. Lineage: Eukaryota; Metazoa; Nematoda; Chromadorea; Rhabditida; Strongyloididae.